CCUACGGGAGGGCAGCAGUGGGGAAUCUUGCACAAUGGGGGCAACCCUGAUGCAGCGACGCCGCGUGAGCGAUGAAGCCCUUCGGGGUGUAAAGCUCUUUCGGCCCGAACGAUAAUGACGGUACGGGAAGAAGAAGCUGCGGCUAACUACGUGCCAGCAGCCGCGGUAAUACGUAGGCAGCGAGCGUUGUUCGGAGUUACUGGGCGUAAAGCGUGCGUAGGCGGUUUUGUAAGUUUGGUGUGAAAUCUCCCGGCUCAACUGGGAGGGUGCGCCGAAAACUGCAAGGCUGGAGUGUGGGAGAGGUAGGCGGAAUUCCUGGUGUAGCGGUGAAAUGCGUAGAUAUCAGGAGGAACACCUGUGGUGUAGACGGCUUACUGGACCAUGACUGACGCUGAGGCACGAAAGCGUGGGGAGCAAACAGGAUUAGAUACCCUGGUAGUCCACGCCCUAAACGAUGCAUACUUGGUGUGGGCAGUUCAUUCUGUCUGUGCCGGAGCUAACGCGUUAAGUAUGCCGCCUGGGGAGUACGGUCGCAAGGCUGAAACUCAAA
RNAcentral lists this ribosomal RNA (550 nucleotides) under uncultured Acidobacteriota bacterium. Its description in RNAcentral is "bacterial SSU rRNA". It matches the Rfam family "Bacterial small subunit ribosomal RNA", at positions 338 to 905 of the family's 1533-position model. Lineage: Bacteria; Pseudomonadati; Acidobacteriota. The record is from RNAcentral.